Molecule: long non-coding RNA, 481 nt
Organism: Quercus lobata
Lineage: Eukaryota; Viridiplantae; Streptophyta; Magnoliopsida; Fagales; Fagaceae
Exons: 3
Source: RefSeq, a predicted model, not a curated record
UUUUCUUUUCAUUUUUUUUUUCACACAAUACAAACACUUCUCUCUCUCACUCCCUCACUUUCCCACCGGCACCUUCACUUCUCAUGACCUCCACCACCUUUUUCUGGCAAGAUCACUGGAAAACUCUGUAGGAAAACAUUAAGGCUCACUCACCUCUACUAUUUGAAGUUCUAGCUAAUUUCUUUUGGGACUUGGAAAAUUAGGCUUUUGCGGGUUGCAAGAGUAGGCAACUAUCUUUUUGAGACAGCUUUUUGGUGGCUAGCAGUAGUUAGACUAACUGUUGAUGGAGGUUGACUUUUGUGAUGGAGAUAAUUGAUGAUGUAUAACUUAGAGUAUGCUGGACCCAAUUCUUUUGUAUCUAAUAGUGGUUAUGCCUUUAUUUCCACUAAUAGGACAAGUUGAUGUUAUGUAAUUAUUUAUUCGGACCUCCAUUCUUUUGUGACCAAUAGUUAUUGUAUUUAUUGCAUAGAGUUCUGACUUA